UACGGGGGGGCAAGCGUUGUUCGGAAUUACUGGGCGUAAAGGGCUCGUAGGUGGCCAACUAAGUCAGACGUGAAAUCCCCAGGCUUAACCUGGGAACUGCGUCUGAUACUGGAUGGCUUGAGUUUGGGAGAGGGAUGCGGAAUUCCAGGUGUAGCGGUGAAAUGCGUAGAUAUCUGGAGGAACACCGGUGGCGAAGGCGGCAUCCUGGACCAACACUGACACUGAGGAGCGAAAGCCAGGGGAGCAAACGGG
RNAcentral lists this ribosomal RNA (252 nucleotides) under uncultured bacterium. RNAcentral's name for it is "partial 16S ribosomal RNA". It matches the Rfam family "Bacterial small subunit ribosomal RNA", at positions 524 to 776 of the family's 1533-position model. The record is from RNAcentral.